Molecule: ribosomal RNA, 460 nt
Filed under: uncultured bacterium
Lineage: Bacteria
Description: partial 16S ribosomal RNA
Rfam family: Bacterial small subunit ribosomal RNA
Source: RNAcentral
CCUACGGGGGGCAGCAGUGAGGAAUAUUGGUCAAUGGACGCGAGUCUGAACCAGCCAAGUAGCGUGAAGGAUGACUGCCCUAUGGGUUGUAAACUUCUUUUAUAUGGGAAUAAAACGUUCCACGUGUGGCUUUUUGUAUGUACCAUAUGAAUAAGGAUCGGCUAACUCCGUGCCAGCAGCCGCGGUAAUACGGAGGAUCCGAGCGUUAUCCGGAUUUAUUGGGUUUAAAGGGAGCGUAGGUGGAUUGUUAAGUCAGUUGUGAAAGUUUGCGGCUCAACCGUAAAAUUGCAGUUGAAACUGGCAGUCUUGAGUACAGUAGAGGUAGGCGGAAUUCGUGGUGUAGCGGUGAAAUGCUUAGAUAUCACGAAGAACUCCGAUUGCGAAGGCAGCUUACUGGACUGCAACUGACACUGAGGCUCGAAAGUGUGGGUAUCAAACAGGAUUAGAUACCCCUGUAGUC